UACGUAGGGAGCAAGCGUUGUCCGGAAUCAUUGGGCGUAAAGCGCGCGUAGGCGGCCUUGUAAGUCCGUUGUGAAAGUCAAAGGCUCAACCUUUGAAAGCCGAUGGAUACUGCGAGGCUAGAGUCCGGAAGAGGCGAGUGGAAUUCCUGGUGUAGCGGUGGAAUGCGCAGAUAUCAGGAGGAACACCAAUAGCGAAGGCAGCUCGCUGGGACGGUACUGACGCUAAGGCGCGAAAGCGUGGGGAGCGAACAGG
RNAcentral lists this ribosomal RNA (253 nucleotides) under uncultured bacterium. RNAcentral describes it as "partial 16S ribosomal RNA". It matches the Rfam family "Bacterial small subunit ribosomal RNA", at positions 524 to 776 of the family's 1533-position model. The record is from RNAcentral.